GCAUUGUGAAGAGUCCCACAAUAGGACGAAACGGCCGUCCAGUGC
This 45-nucleotide non-coding RNA is filed under the name Schistosoma haematobium. The record is from RNAcentral. Lineage: Eukaryota; Metazoa; Platyhelminthes; Trematoda; Strigeidida; Schistosomatidae.